CAGGAAGUCAAAAAAGAUCAUCAAGGACAACAACCACCCGAGCCAUGGCCUGUUCACCCCGCUACCAUCCAGAAGGCGAGGCCCCCAGAAAGCAAAGAAGAGAGCAGAGGGAGCCAACUCCAAUGUGUUCUCUCCAUGUUUGAACAGGCCCAGAUCCACGAGUUCAAAGAAGUGCAGACCCAGAGGACACCAUCCUCAAUGCCUUCAAAGUCUUUGAUCCUGAGGGGAAGGAGACCUUGAAGAAGGACUUAUGGAGCAGAUGUUCACCACCUUCCCUCCAGAUGUGGCUGGACACCUGGACUUCAAGAAUCUGGUCUACAUCAUCACACAUGGGGAAGAGAAGGACCAUGAAUAAAUCCACCUCUUGCUAACUGUCCUUGCAUCUCUUCUGUUACACGUCGCCCCGCUGCGCAUCAAAGCUAUCUGGAAAUGUUUGAGAUGUGCAUGAUCAUCU
RNAcentral lists this long non-coding RNA (454 nucleotides) under Salmo salar (Atlantic salmon). Its description in RNAcentral is "lncRNA (ENSSSAG00000067035.2)". The record is from RNAcentral. Lineage: Eukaryota; Metazoa; Chordata; Actinopteri; Salmoniformes; Salmonidae.